GACGAACGCUGGCGGCGUGCUUAACACAUGCAAGUCGAACGGAAAGGCCCUGCUUUUGUGGGGUGCUCGAGUGGCGAACGGGUGAGUAACACGUGAGUAACCUGCCCUUGACUUUGGGAUAACUUCAGGAAACUGGGGCUAAUACCGGAUAGGAGCUCCUGCUGCAUGGUGGGGGUUGGAAAGUUUCGGCGGUUGGGGAUGGACUCGCGGCUUAUCAGCUUGUUGGUGGGGUAGUGGCUUACCAAGGCUUUGACGGGUAGCCGGCCUGAGAGGGUGACCGGCCACACUGGGACUGAGAUACGGCCCAGACUCCUACGGGAGGCAGCAGUGGGGAAUAUUGCACUAUGGGCGGAAGCCUGAUGCAGCAACGCCGCGUGCGGGAUGACGGCCUUCGGGUUGUAAACCGCUUUCGCCUGUGACGAAGCGUGAGUGACGGUAAUGGGUAAAGAAGCACCGGCUAACUACGUG
Molecule: ribosomal RNA, 468 nt
Filed under: uncultured bacterium
Lineage: Bacteria
Description: partial 16S ribosomal RNA
Rfam family: Bacterial small subunit ribosomal RNA
Source: RNAcentral